RNAcentral lists this ribosomal RNA (460 nucleotides) under uncultured bacterium. RNAcentral's name for it is "partial 16S ribosomal RNA". It matches the Rfam family "Bacterial small subunit ribosomal RNA", at positions 338 to 795 of the family's 1533-position model. The record is from RNAcentral.
CCUACGGGAGUCAGCAGUGAGGAAUAUUGGUCAAUGGACGCAAGUCUGAACCAGCCAUGCCGCGUGCAGGAAGACGGCUCUAUGAGUUGUAAACUGCUUUUGUACGAGGGUAAACGCAGAUACGUGUAUCUGUCUGAAAGUAUCGUACGAAUAAGGAUCGGCUAACUCCGUGCCAGCAGCCGCGGUAAUACGGAGGAUUCAAGCGUUAUCCGGAUUUAUUGGGUUUAAAGGGUGCGUAGGCGGUCGGAUAAGUUAGAGGUGAAAUCCCGAGGCUCAACUUCGGAAUUGCCUCGGAUACUGUUCGGCUAGAGAGUAGUUGCGGUAGGCGGAAUGUAUGGUGUAGCAGUGAAAUGCUUAGAGAUCAUACAGAACACCGAUUGCGAAGGCAGCUUACCAAGCUACUUCUGACGUUGAGGCACGAAAGCGUGGGGAGCAAACAGGAUUAGAUACCCUAGUAGUC